CCUAUUUGAGUGUUAUGAACAACUCAUCCAAAUCCUUUGGAUGGCUCUGAGCUUGCAUUUGGCUGGCUUGAAAUUAAUUGGGUAAACACUUACCAUGUGUAUCGUCAUAUAUUUUAGCGAUAUUUACAUUGGUAGAUAGUAUCCUGUAAUAAAUUUUCAAUCUUAGCCUCAAAUUAGGUAGGAAUACCCGCUGAACUUAA
This 200-nucleotide unclassified non-coding RNA is filed under the name soil metagenome. RNAcentral describes it as "partial contains internal transcribed spacer 2 and large subunit ribosomal RNA". The record is from RNAcentral.